ACACGACUACAUUAGAUACCCCCGUAGUCCUAGCCGUAAACGAUACUCGCUAGGUGUCGGCCACGGUGCGACCGUUGUCGGUGCCGUAGGGAAGCCGUGAAGCGAGCCACCUGGGAAGUACGGCCGCAAGGCUGAAACUUAAAGGAAUUGGCGGGGAGCACCACAAGAGGUGGAGGCUGCGGUUCAAUUGGACUCAACGCCGGAAACUCAUCGGGAGCGACAGCAGUAUGAUUGCCAGGUUGAUGACCUUGCUUGACAAGCUG
RNAcentral lists this ribosomal RNA (263 nucleotides) under uncultured archaeon. RNAcentral's name for it is "partial 16S ribosomal RNA". It matches the Rfam family "Archaeal small subunit ribosomal RNA", at positions 717 to 982 of the family's 1478-position model. The record is from RNAcentral.